RNAcentral lists this ribosomal RNA (425 nucleotides) under uncultured eukaryote. RNAcentral's name for it is "bacterial SSU rRNA". It matches the Rfam family "Eukaryotic small subunit ribosomal RNA", at positions 592 to 1017 of the family's 1831-position model. The record is from RNAcentral.
CAAUAGCGUAUAUUAAAGUUGUUGCAGUUAAAAGCUCGUAGUUGGAUUUCUUAGCUGAGCGACCGGUCCGCCGCUGUGCGGUGUGUACUCGGGUGCGACUCGGCUAAUCCUUGCAGGGAACGGCGUUUCGGUCUUAACUGGUCGAGGUCGGGAAUUGCAUCGUUUACUGUGAAAAAUUAGAGUGUUUAAAGCAGGCUUAUGCUGUGAAUACAUUAGCAUGGAAUAAUAAGAUAGGACUUUGGAACUAUUUUGUUGGUUUGCGUUACAAAGUAAUGAUUAAUAGGGACAGUUGGGGGUAUUCGUAUUUCGUUGUCAGAGGUGAAAUUCUUGGAUUUCCGAAAGACGAACUACUGCGAAAGCAUUUACCAAGGAUGUUUUCAUUAAUCAAGAACGAAAGUUAGGGGAUCGAAGACGAUCAGAUACCA